UACGUAGGCUGCAAGCGUUGUUCGGAAUUACUGGGCGUAAAGAGUGUGUAGGCGGUUCUCCAAGUCUGGUGUGAAAUAUCCCGGCUUAACUGGGAGGGUGCAUUAGAAACUGGAAUGCUAGAGGAUGGGAGAGGUAAGCGGAAUUCCUGGUGUAGCGGUGAAAUGCGUAGAUAUCAGGAGGAACACCUGUGGCGAAGACAGCUUACUGGACCAUUUCUGACGCUGAGACACGAAAGCGUGGGUAGCAAACAGG
RNAcentral lists this ribosomal RNA (253 nucleotides) under uncultured bacterium. Its description in RNAcentral is "partial 16S ribosomal RNA". It matches the Rfam family "Bacterial small subunit ribosomal RNA", at positions 524 to 776 of the family's 1533-position model. The record is from RNAcentral.